This 500-nucleotide ribosomal RNA is filed under the name Klebsiella aerogenes. RNAcentral's name for it is "bacterial SSU rRNA". It matches the Rfam family "Bacterial small subunit ribosomal RNA", at positions 553 to 1053 of the family's 1533-position model. Lineage: Bacteria; Pseudomonadati; Pseudomonadota; Gammaproteobacteria; Enterobacterales; Enterobacteriaceae. The record is from RNAcentral.
ACUGGGCGUAAGCGCACGCAGGCGGUCUGUCAAGUCGGAUGUGAAAUCCCCGGGCUCAACCUGGGAACUGCAUUCGAAACUGGCAGGCUAGAGUCUUGUAGAGGGGGGUAGAAUUCCAGGUGUAGCGGUGAAAUGCGUAGAGAUCUGGAGGAAUACCGGUGGCGAAGGCGGCCCCCUGGACAAAGACUGACGCUCAGGUGCGAAAGCGUGGGGAGCAAACAGGAUUAGAUACCCUGGUAGUCCACGCCGUAAACGAUGUCGACUUGGAGGUUGUGCCCUUGAGGCGUGGCUUCCGGAGCUAACGCGUUAAGUCGACCGCCUGGGGAGUACGGCCGCAAGGUUAAAACUCAAAUGAAUUGACGGGGGCCCGCACAAGCGGUGGAGCAUGUGGUUUAAUUCGAUGCAACGCGAAGAACCUUACCUACUCUUGACAUCCAGAGAACUUUCCAGAGAUGGAUUGGUGCCUUCCGGAACUCUGAGACAGGUGCUGCAUGGCUGUC